This 506-nucleotide ribosomal RNA is filed under the name uncultured bacterium. RNAcentral's name for it is "partial 16S ribosomal RNA". It matches the Rfam family "Bacterial small subunit ribosomal RNA", at positions 29 to 523 of the family's 1533-position model. The record is from RNAcentral.
AGUGAACGCUGGCGGUAGGCCUAACACAUGCAAGUCGAACGGCAGCACAGGAGAGCUUGCUCUCUGGGUGGCGAGUGGCGGACGGGUGAGGAAUACAUCGGAAUCUACUCUGUCGUGGGGGAUAACGUAGGGAAACUUACGCUAAUACCGCAUACGACCUACGGGUGAAAGCAGGGGACCUUCGGGCCUUUCGCGAUUGAAUGAGCCGAUGUCGGAUUAGCUAGUUGGCGGGGUAAAGGCCCACCAAGGCGACGAUCCGUAACUGGUCUGACAGGAUAAUCAACCAGACUGGAACUUAGACACGGUCCAGACUCCUACGGGAGGCAGCAGUGGGGAAUAUUGGACAAUGGGCGCAAGCCUGAUCCAGCCAUACCGCGUGGGUGAAGAAGGCCUUCGGGUUGUAAAGCCCUUUUGUUGGGAAAGAAAUCCAGCUGGCUAAUACCCGGUUGGGAUGACGGUACCCAAAGAAUAAGCACCGGCUAACUUCGUGCCAGCAGCCGCCGUAA